RNAcentral lists this ribosomal RNA (895 nucleotides) under Staphylococcus aureus. Its description in RNAcentral is "bacterial SSU rRNA". It matches the Rfam family "Bacterial small subunit ribosomal RNA", at positions 9 to 873 of the family's 1533-position model. Lineage: Bacteria; Bacillati; Bacillota; Bacilli; Caryophanales; Staphylococcaceae. The record is from RNAcentral.
CUAGGAGUUUUUUAUUCUGGCUCAGGAUGAACGCUGGCGGCGUGCUAAUACAUGCAAGUCGAGCGAACGGACGAGAAGCUUGCUUCUCUGAUGUUAGCGGCGGACGGGUGAGUAACACGUGGAUAACCUACCUAUAAGACUGGGAUAACUUCGGGAAACCGGAGCUAAUACCGGAUAAUAUUUUGAACCGCAUGGUUCAAAAGUGAAAGACGGUCUUGCUGUCACUUAUAGAUGGAUCCGCGCUGCAUUAGCUAGUUGGUAAGGUAACGGCUUACCAAGGCAACGAUGCAUAGCCGACCUGAGAGGGUGAUCGGCCACACUGGAACUGAGACACGGUCCAGACUCCUACGGGAGGCAGCAGUAGGGAAUCUUCCGCAAUGGGCGAAAGCCUGACGGAGCAACGCCGCGUGAGUGAUGAAGGUCUUCGGAUCGUAAAACUCUGUUAUUAGGGAAGAACAUAUGUGUAAGUAACUGUGCACAUCUUGACGGUACCUAAUCAGAAAGCCACGGCUAACUACGUGCCAGCAGCCGCGGUAAUACGUAGGUGGCAAGCGUUAUCCGGAAUUAUUGGGCGUAAAGCGCGCGUAGGCGGUUUUUUAAGUCUGAUGUGAAAGCCCACGGCUCAACCGUGGAGGGUCAUUGGAAACUGGAAAACUUGAGUGCAGAAGAGGAAAGUGGAAUUCCAUGUGUAGCGGUGAAAUGCGCAGAGAUAUGGAGGAACACCAGUGGCGAAGGCGACUUUCUGGUCUGUAACUGACGCUGAUGUGCGAAAGCGUGGGGAUCAAACAGGAUUAGAUACCCUGGUAGUCCACGCCGUAAACGAUGAGUGCUAAGUGUUAGGGGGUUUCCGCCCCUUAGUGCUGCAGCUAACGCAUUAAGCACUCCGCCGGGGGUC